GAAGCCGGGUGGAGCAUGUGGUUUAAUUCGAUGAUACGCGAGAAACCUUACCAGGGCUUGACAUAUACAGGAAUGUUGUAGAGAUACAGCAGCCGCUUGCGGUCUGUAUCAGGUGCUGCAUGGCUGUCGUCAGCUCGUGCUGUGAAGUGUUGGGUUAAGUCCCGCAACGAGCGCAACCCUAUCAUCUGUUGCCAGCAUUUAAGGUGGGGACUCAGAUGAGCUGCCGGUGACAAACCGGAGGAAGGUGGGGACGACGUCAAGUCAUCAUGGCCCUUAUGUCCUGGGCUACACACGUGCUACAAUGGCCGGUACAGAGUGAAGCGAAACCGCGAGGUGAAGCAAAACGCAGAAAGCCGGUCUCAGUACGGAUUGGAGUCUGAAACUCGACUUCAUGAAGUUGGAAUCGCUAGUAAUCGCGCAUCAGCAUGGCGCGGUGAAUACGUUCCCGGGCCUU
Molecule: ribosomal RNA, 454 nt
Filed under: uncultured Spirochaeta sp.
Lineage: Bacteria; Pseudomonadati; Spirochaetota; Spirochaetia; Spirochaetales; Spirochaetaceae
Description: bacterial SSU rRNA
Rfam family: Bacterial small subunit ribosomal RNA
Source: RNAcentral